Non-coding RNA from Parelaphostrongylus tenuis, 73 nucleotides. The record is from the annotation of a GenBank genome assembly. NCBI's taxonomy places the organism in Eukaryota, Metazoa, Nematoda, Chromadorea, Rhabditida, Metastrongylidae.
GCGUCGAUGAUGCAGCGGUUAGCAUACGCUCCUGAAAAAAGUGAGAUCUGGGGUUUGAAUCCCGGCUGACGCA